RNAcentral lists this transfer RNA (83 nucleotides) under Candidatus Levyibacteriota bacterium. Its description in RNAcentral is "tRNA-Leu". It matches the Rfam family "tRNA". From Rfam's summary of the family: Transfer RNA (tRNA) molecules are approximately 80 nucleotides in length. Lineage: Bacteria; Candidatus Levyibacteriota. The record is from RNAcentral.
GCCCGGGUGUUGGAAUGGUAGACAAGCAUGCUUGAGGUGCAUGUGCCAGAAAUGGUGUGGAGGUUCGACUCCUCUCCCGGGCA